This 3306-nucleotide long non-coding RNA is filed under the name Physcomitrium patens. Its description in RNAcentral is "long non-coding RNA (PPAT_LNC011608)". The record is from RNAcentral. Lineage: Eukaryota; Viridiplantae; Streptophyta; Bryopsida; Funariales; Funariaceae.
CCAAGCAAAAUGGAUGUGGCGGAGAAGUUUAUUCAAGACAAUCCAUAGUAAGGCUUAACACACCAAUAUACACAUGAAGAAGAACUUCUUCGCAUCACGGAACAGAUGCAACCAGACGUAGAAAACCUAUUACUAGCAUUCGGGAUCGACAUUGCCACAAUAGGAGCCACAAGAGCGCCCACUCAUCCAACUUCUGAUGUAACGCAACCCGAUCCUGCACAUACAAAAACAAGAGCCAAUAUCAGUCAAGAGAUGAUGUAACUCAUGAAGGACCAAAUUGCAUUUGAGGAAAGUCACACCCUGAUAGAAUACUUGAGGAAAAAUCCUGGCCCAAGCAUACUCCACGAGUGGGCCACAAGAGUUCUACACAACUCCUACACCUCAACAACGAUGCUUGGGGGAGGUUACUUCAAAAUAUAAUUUAUGAGCAAACAAGGAAAACUACACAUGCUAUCUAAACCAUAUCAAUUCAACAACGAAGAUAUAUUAUUUUCCACCUGGAGAGCCGACUUCGACCUGGAAUCGGAAACCGACACGCACCAAACCUCCUCCCAAAUCUGGGCACAACUCCGAGGCUUAAGAAGGAUUUUUCGCACAACACAGUUUCUCACAGAAGCCUUUUCCACUAUCGAAGAAGUCAUAGCCGUUGACUCCACCAAAUCUUACCAAAACAAAGCUUCUGGUUCUAAGGUUCAGUUACCAGUCUAGGAUGUAGUCAACCUCCCACAUACUUCAGUUCUUCCCAAGAGGUGAACAUGAAUACCGAAUUGACUACAGUGUACUAUCCUCCUAGUGCAAUAGAUGUAGAAGUACUACACACCACGCUAAACACUGUACACUACCGUGGAGAGAAGAGCGCAAGAGAUCCAGAUAGAAAACCCCAACCUUGGAAAACUCGGUAACCGACAACCUCACCCAACACAGACAGACCAAUGGUGAAGAGAAAACAUUGAAAAAUGUAGGACCUAGGAAGAAGAACAGUGCAACUCUUCUACGCACCAAAUACAUCUGGGUAGAAAAGAAACCAACAAAAUCCACAGACACACAUGAAGGACCAGAAAAACCAUCUGAAUCAAUCAUAUACAACUCACCACAUACAAUUGAGCUUUUGGAGAGCUCUGGGAUCAGAACCGCCUUGCAAAGGAACAACUUAUGAGCAAAUUACAGUAGCUUUAGUUUGGUCAUCUCAAAACAACUUCCUUGAAACCCUGGUUUGCAAAGCUAGCGACACUCUGCUGUGCACAACACAACUGACUCACGUCCCAAAGGAGAAGGAUUGGUCAUCAUCAAUCGCUCAAACGCAUAUGGUUAACACCACAAUGCAAAAGCUCCAAACACAGAUAACCAAUAGAGGAAAUGGCCCCAACUUGCUCCGCACCUAGUCAGACGCAAUAUGGGUUUCAGAAUAGCUCAACUAAAAAUCUACUCACACAAACAAUUGGAUUACUAUCUUGCCAUACGACAAAAGCACCACAGCGAUCAAACAUCAAUAAACAAAGCACUGGAAGCAGAUACCAUCAUCAACAUCCCCCCCACAAGCUCUCAUACUAGAAAGGGUAAAGGAGAUAUCAUAUGGCCAAUGGUGUCAGACAAUCAUCCAUCUCCAAGAUUAACACACCCAGGAUGUGAACUCCUCUCCUCUAACUCACUUUGAGCAGAAACUCGGAGAGAACAACACAUCUAUUAUACAUGAAUGAUGGCCUAACAAUGGCCACAUACAACAUCCAGUGCUUAGGCGAAGGACUGGAUGGCGUCAGAAAAUGCUGUAAGCUUCGAAACUUAAUGCAAAAGACCUAUCUCAAACCCAACCUUAUAUUAUUACAAGAACAUCAAUUCAACCAUACUAACUGUACCAAACAAGCUACACAACUAGAUUUUCUACAAGGUACAAUGCUUUGGAACACCGUAGUGUACUCAGCACAAAAAGUGGCUUAGUUGGUGGAACAGCUAUUUUGGUAUCCAACAAACUCACCGAUAACCUAAAAGAACAUGGAGUGAUAGUCUGAGGAAGAGCGCAACGCUCCAUUUUCAAAAUCAGCCCCACAGUUCAAAUAGGCAUUCUAAAUGUCUAUGGUUACAGCCACACAGAACCCCGUGCAAGACUAUGGCAGAAAAUAGCAGACCACCCUUUACCAGAAGCCCUCUGGAUCAUGGGGGGCGAUUCUAAUUUUAUUGAGUCCCUCGAAGACAAGCAGGGUGGGAAUGCCAAUUUAAGACAAGGAACACAAGAAAUGACAGCAUGGAAUAACAUGCUCAUUAAACUAUAAGUUCAAGACAGUUUCCACAUGGGAGAAUUCUGCAAGAUUACCAAUAAACGCUUCACCUGGGAUAACAGAAGCCCAGCCCCGAAGACAGUACUCACCAAGCUAGAUAGAAUAUACAUUGGAGACAAACUCCAAGACUGAGGUGGACUAUGUGGAAUCUGGACAGCACAACCAAUCAUUUCGUAUUACACCCCUGCUUUCAUAAGAUUGAAACCUGCAUGCCGACCUCUACCCUAGAUGCAGUUCUUUGACAAACGACAACUAGAAUCAGUUGAAGGCAGACAACAUGUCACAGGAGCUUGAAAACAGGCCAUAUAAAACACUACAUAAACCAAAUGGAGCGAUAAAAUUGGCCUUACAAGCAGUAUGCAACACGAACCUAAAUAUUGCAAAAAAGAACAGACAGACUUGGAAAAAAUAGUACAAGAAUCAACUAAACCAGACACUCAAUGCCAAACUCCUCGUUCAAGAUAACUGAAAUGACCCAACGACGAGGGACACACUCAACACAACACAGCUAUAAUUACAAAAAAAUUGAUACAACAGGCUAGAAAAACAAUUCACAUUCCUUACAGUCAAAUGGACAAGAGUGAGAGACCGUUGCAACUCUGAGUUCUUUCAACACUACAGAGCUCGUCACUGCAAAGUCCGCAUCAAAGAAUCCAAUGAUAAGGACCGCAUUCAAAAGUUCCAGAAGCACAUGGCGCUUUAUGCACAAAGAUAUUACCAACAACUCUACACCCCAAACUCCACCGUUGAAUGCAAUGUAGACUCCGAAAGAGACACCUUAGCAAGCACUCCUAUAGUAGUCACAGAGGAUCACAACCGAGAGUUAGAACGCCCUAUAACUGCUGAAGAGAUUACAGCGGCAACGAAGAGUCUUCCUAGAAGCAAAGCCCCCAGACUGGACAAGGUACCGACCGAAUUUUUCCAAGAAUGUUGGAGGGAAAUUGGCCCCGACAUGGUGGAACUCAUCAAAGAGGUUCUCUCACAAGAAACAUUGCCCAAUAAAUUCAACACCAGCAAUGUAGUACUCAUCCCA